Small nuclear RNA from Lutra lutra (Eurasian river otter), 106 nucleotides. The record is from RefSeq and is a predicted model, not a curated record. NCBI's taxonomy places the organism in Eukaryota, Metazoa, Chordata, Mammalia, Carnivora, Mustelidae.
CUGCUCAAUUUGGCAGCACAUGUACUAAAAUGGAAACAAUACAGAGAAGGUUAGCAUGCCCCUGUGCAAGGAUGCCAAGCAAAUUCACGAAACAUUCCAUAUUUUU